AGAAUUUUAAGUGCUGUGGUAGGGAGUCGUGUCAAAAAAUUACUGGCAGGGUACGACAUAGUUUGUGUCGGUCAUAAAAAAUUCAUAUGUGCCGACACAUAAUAGUAAUGAAAUAUUUAUUUUCUUUAGCAACAAAAUAUUUUAACUAUUUAUUAUGUAUUUUUAUCAAAUCUUUUGAAUUUUAUUGAGAAAAUUACUUACUAAUUUAAAAAGCAGAGGGUUUUUAGCUGUGCCGUCGGCAACGAGGGCUGUAUCAUGCCGAUAUCUUGAUGGUACGAUACGAUACGGUAGAUACAGCUCGUGCCGAUAAACACUUAAAUUCUUGAUAUUUAUAAUAUUUUAUAAAUUUUGAGGG
This 355-nucleotide long non-coding RNA is filed under the name Ananas comosus (pineapple). Its description in RNAcentral is "long non-coding RNA (ACOM_LNC020660)". The record is from RNAcentral. Lineage: Eukaryota; Viridiplantae; Streptophyta; Magnoliopsida; Poales; Bromeliaceae.